GGGGAUUUAGCUCAGUGGUAGAGCGCUUGCCUAGCAAACGAAAGGCCCUGGGUUCGGUCCCCAGCUCCA
This is a non-coding RNA of Rattus norvegicus (Norway rat), 69 nucleotides long. Lineage: Eukaryota; Metazoa; Chordata; Mammalia; Rodentia; Muridae. The record is from Rfam.